GUGCAGCAGGCGCGAAACCUCCGCAAUGCGGGAAACCGCGACGGGGGACCCCGAGUGCCGUGGCAACGCCACGGCUUUUCCGGAGUGUAAAAAGCUCCGGGAAUAAGGGCUGGGCAAGGCCGGUGGCAGCCGCCGCGGUAAUACCGGCGGCCCGAGUGGUGGCCGCUAUUAUUGGGCCUAAAGCGUCCGUAGCCGGGCCCGUAAGUCCCUGGCGAAAUCCCACGGCUCAACCGUGGGGCUUGCUGGGGAUACUGCGGGUCUUGGGACCGGGAGAGGCGGGGGGUACCCCUGGGGUAGGGGUGAAAUCCUAUAAUCCCAGGGGGACCGCCAGUGGCGAAGGCGCCCCGCUGGAACGGGUCCGACGGUGAGGGACGAAGGCCAGGGGAGC
Molecule: ribosomal RNA, 388 nt
Filed under: uncultured microorganism
Description: bacterial SSU rRNA
Rfam family: Archaeal small subunit ribosomal RNA
Source: RNAcentral